GGGAACUGCGUUNUGAACUGGGUGACUAGAGUGUNUCAGAGGGAGGUAGAAUUCCACGUGUAGCAGUGAAAUGCGUAGAGAUGUGGAGGAAUACCGAUGGCGAAGGCAGCCUCCUGGGAUAACACUGACGUUCAUGCCCGAAAGCGUGGGUAGCAAACAGGAUUAGAUACCCUGGUAGUCCACGCCCUAAACGAUGUCGAUUAGCUGUUGGGCAGCAUGACUGCUUGGUAGCGAAGCUAACGCGUGAAAUCGACCGCCUGGGGAGUACGGUCGCAAGAUUAAAACUCAAAGGAAUUGACGGGGACCCGCACAAGCGGUGGAUGAUGUGGAUUAAUUCGAUGCAACGCGAAGAACCUUACCUGGUCUUGACAUGUACGGAACCCUCCAGAGACGGAGGGGUGCCUUCGGGAGCCGUAACACAGGUGCUGCAUGGCUGUCGUCAGCUCGUGUCGUGAGAUGUUGGGUUAAGUCCCGCAACGAGCGCAACCCUUGUCAUUAGUUGCCAUCAUUAAGUUGGGCACUCUAAUGAGACUGCCGGUGACAAGCCGGAGGAAGGUGGGGAUGACGUCAAGUCCUCAUGGCCCUUAUGACCAGGGCUUCACACGUCAUACAAUGGUCGGUACAGAGGGUAGCCAAGCCGCGAGGUGGAGCCAAUCUCACAAAACCGAUCGUAGUCCGGAUUGCACUCUGC
Molecule: ribosomal RNA, 691 nt
Filed under: uncultured bacterium
Lineage: Bacteria
Description: bacterial SSU rRNA
Rfam family: Bacterial small subunit ribosomal RNA
Source: RNAcentral